This 509-nucleotide ribosomal RNA is filed under the name uncultured bacterium. RNAcentral's name for it is "bacterial SSU rRNA". It matches the Rfam family "Bacterial small subunit ribosomal RNA", at positions 24 to 518 of the family's 1533-position model. The record is from RNAcentral.
UCAGGAUGAACGCUGGCGGCGUGCCUAACACAUGCAAGUCGAACGAAGCACUUUCCCGAGGAAGAGGCGUGCUUGCACAAAUCGGACUCAAUUAAAGUGACUUAGUGGCGGACGGGUGAGUAACGCGUGGGUAACCUGCCUUAUACAGGGGGAUAACAGUUAGAAAUGACUGCUAAUACCGCAUAAGCGCACGGUAUCGCAUGAUACAGUGUGAAAAGCGUAACGGUAUAAGAUGGACCCGCGUCUGAUUAGCCAGUUGGUGAGGUAACGGCUCACCAAAGCGACGAUCAGUAGCCGGCCUGAGAGGGUGAACGGCCACAUUGGGACUGAGACACGGCCCAAACUCCUACGGGAGGCAGCAGUGGGGGAUAUUGCACAAUGGGGGAAACCCUGAUGCAGCCGACGCCGCGUGAGUGAUGAAGUAUUUCGGUAUGUAAAGCUCUAUCAGCAGGGAAGAAAAUGACGGUACCUGACUAAGAAGCCCCGGCUAACUACGUGCCAGCAGCCGC